RNAcentral lists this ribosomal RNA (1388 nucleotides) under Vibrio sp. PaH2.13a1. RNAcentral describes it as "bacterial SSU rRNA". It matches the Rfam family "Bacterial small subunit ribosomal RNA", at positions 52 to 1419 of the family's 1533-position model. The record is from RNAcentral. Lineage: Bacteria; Pseudomonadati; Pseudomonadota; Gammaproteobacteria; Vibrionales; Vibrionaceae.
CACAUGCAAGUCGAGCGGAAACGAGUUAUCUGAACUUUCGGGGGACGAUAACGGCGUCGAGCGGCGGACGGGUGAGUAAUGCCUAGGAAAUUGCCCUGAUGUGGGGGAUAACCAUUGGAAACGAUGGCUAAUACCGCAUAAUGCCUACGGGCCAAAGAGGGGGACCUUCGGGCCUCUCGCGUCAGGAUAUGCCUAGGUGGGAUUAGCUAGUUGGUGAGGUAAUGGCUCACCAAGGCGACGAUCCCUAGCUGGUCUGAGAGGAUGAUCAGCCACACUGGAACUGAGACACGGUCCAGACUCCUACGGGAGGCAGCAGUGGGGAAUAUUGCACAAUGGGCGCAAGCCUGAUGCAGCCAUGCCGCGUGUGUGAAGAAGGCCUUCGGGUUGUAAAGCACUUUCAGUCGUGAGGAAGGUGGUGUAGUUAAUAGCUGCAUUAUUUGACGUUAGCGACAGAAGAAGCACCGGCUAACUCCGUGCCAGCAGCCGCGGUAAUACGGAGGGUGCGAGCGUUAAUCGGAAUUACUGGGCGUAAAGCGCAUGCAGGUGGUUUGUUAAGUCAGAUGUGAAAGCCCGGGGCUCAACCUCGGAAUAGCAUUUGAAACUGGCAGACUAGAGUACUGUAGAGGGGGGUAGAAUUUCAGGUGUAGCGGUGAAAUGCGUAGAGAUCUGAAGGAAUACCGGUGGCGAAGGCGGCCCCCUGGACAGAUACUGACACUCAGAUGCGAAAGCGUGGGGAGCAAACAGGAUUAGAUACCCUGGUAGUCCACGCCGUAAACGAUGUCUACUUGGAGGUUGUGGCCUUGAGCCGUGGCUUUCGGAGCUAACGCGUUAAGUAGACCGCCUGGGGAGUACGGUCGCAAGAUUAAAACUCAAAUGAAUUGACGGGGGCCCGCACAAGCGGUGGAGCAUGUGGUUUAAUUCGAUGCAACGCGAAGAACCUUACCUACUCUUGACAUCCAGAGAACUUUCCAGAGAUGGAUUGGUGCCUUCGGGAACUCUGAGACAGGUGCUGCAUGGCUGUCGUCAGCUCGUGUUGUGAAAUGUUGGGUUAAGUCCCGCAACGAGCGCAACCCUUAUCCUUGUUUGCCAGCGAGUAAUGUCGGGAACUCCAGGGAGACUGCCGGUGAUAAACCGGAGGAAGGUGGGGACGACGUCAAGUCAUCAUGGCCCUUACGAGUAGGGCUACACACGUGCUACAAUGGCGCAUACAGAGGGCAGCAAGCUAGCGAUAGUGAGCGAAUCCCAAAAAGUGCGUCGUAGUCCGGAUUGGAGUCUGCAACUCGACUCCAUGAAGUCGGAAUCGCUAGUAAUCGUGGAUCAGAAUGCCACGGUGAAUACGUUCCCGGGCCUUGUACACACCGCCCGUCACACCAUGGGAGUGGGCUGCA